Molecule: long non-coding RNA, 470 nt
Filed under: Pongo abelii (Sumatran orangutan)
Lineage: Eukaryota; Metazoa; Chordata; Mammalia; Primates; Hominidae
Description: lincRNA
Source: RNAcentral
CACCGGCCAGUCAGCGGAGCCUCCUCACCUCCGUUGGCAGCUAACGCGCUCGUUAGGCCUUCGGAAGAGGCGACCGGAGGCGAUGCCAGCGAAUUUGUUAGGGGGGGGAGACCGUGGUCACGAAGGGGGUUCUCCCAGAGUGAAGCUUCUUCAUCGCACUCUAGAGUUGCUGAUCCCUGUGAUUUCCUCAGUGUGGGAAACGGUGUUUGUGCUAGAGAGGCUGUGCUCUUUACCUGACAUAAGGGGGUUCAAGACUGACAUCCCUCACGCCCACCCGAAAACGUUUACAUGGCUUCCUUGUCUCUUUUUUUUUCUGUCCUAAAGUCGCCUCAUCUUCACAUCCCCUCAUUUUUUCUUCCACACUCGAGAGUGUCUCUCUCUCUCAUUAAAAGCUCCAUCAAAUAUUUGAAAUAUCUCAACCAGAAAGACUGCAAUAAAUACAUUAUUUCAUUCGUGGAAGCUACAGGCCA